RNAcentral lists this long non-coding RNA (1337 nucleotides) under Homo sapiens (human). RNAcentral's name for it is "HSALNT0395021". Lineage: Eukaryota; Metazoa; Chordata; Mammalia; Primates; Hominidae. The record is from RNAcentral.
GACAUGGACAGGAGAGGCCCCGCCCUGCAGGAAUGUCAGGCAGCCAUCAGGUGAUGCUCAGGCUUCAGAGUUCUACAUCGUAUCCUACUUACAGCCCUAAAUACCUGUUAACUGCCACCCCCUGGACAGAUUAUUACAGUGACAACAGAAAUAUAAGUCACAUAAGGAGCUGCUGAAUGCACUCAAGACUCAACAAUCUCCAAAGAUACUGGAAGGCACGAAUGGAAAUCUGGACUCUGACAACUGUCCUUAGCAUGUUAUCUUUUACGCCAAUGCUGGCCAAAGAGAAGGACUUAAAACGUUGUACUGAUCCUUACAAGAACUUAGUUUCCACUGUUUCUUUCCACUACUUUUGCUAAAUUCAAAUUGACCAACCAAUAGCUGCUUAACUAGGACCACACCUUGCUCUUCCUGCAUCUUAUCCCAUGAGCAACACGAUUUCAGUUUCCCCAUAAUUUCCAAGAACUUGCCAGUGAAUAAUUCUCGGAAUAAAACUGAACUAUGACUGUGAAACUGCCUUUGCAAAAAUCAUAACUGAGAAAAGAAGGUAAAAGAGAUGUGUCCUAACUGCCUUCAUCUUUCUUUUAACCUCCAAGCUGUCUUAUUCAUUGCUGGUGUAGGCUAAACUAAUUUUGGAAGAAACUUAGUUUAUGAUUUAACUUUGAAACCAAGAUAAUAGCAGCCCUUUCCCUAAACAAACCCCCUUCCUGCCUACAGCCUAGACUGGCUUUGCAGGAUUAACAAAAUAGCCACAAAAUUAGAAAUUAUGGCUUAGGAGUCAUGCAGCUGGAGGGUACAAGAAUCUGAACCUCUCCAAAUUGCUCCUGAGGAUAACAUCACUAUUGUAAAAUCUAAGAUCAGUGCUUCAGAUAUUUUGCAGACUCUGUGCUUAAAGGAUCAGCUGGCACUACCCAGGUCUUGAUAAACUGGCUCAGUUGGACUUGUGGCCUCUGCCUAGGAACUGAUUCAGCAUAAGAGGACAGCUUUGACUCCCUAUUAUUUUAUCUCUGACCUGAUCAAUCAGCACUGCCAACUUUCUGACCCCCUAUACACCAAAUUAUUCUUGAAAACCUCAGUCUCCAAGUUUUGGGAGAGACUGAUUUGAGUAAAACUCUGGUCCCCUGUACAGUCAGCUUUGCAUGAAUUAAACUCUUUCUCUAUUGCCAUUCCCCUGUCUAGAUAAAUCAGCUCUGUCUAGGCAGUGGGCAAGAUUAACCCACUGGGUUACAUGUGGCCUUUCCCAAUUCUAUCUUAUGAAAUAUUUAUCUACUUGGUCCCCAUAGUCAUCUUGAAAUGUGUUUCAUGUUGCAAUGUUUUAAUAAAGGCUUUAGCUAAUA